UCAGGAUGAACGCUGGCGGCGUGCCUAACACAUGCAAGUCGAGCGAUUACUUCGGUAAAGAGCGGCGGACGGGUGAGUAACGCGUGGGUAACCUGCCUCAUACACAUGGAUAACAUACCGAAAGGUAUGCUAAUACAAGAUAAUAUAAGAGAUUCACAUGGAUUUCUUAUCAAAGCUCCGGCGGUAUGAGAUGGACCCGCGUCUGAUUAGCUAGUUGGUAAGGUAAUGGCUUACCAAGGCGACGAUCAGUAGCCGACCUGAGAGGGUGAUCGGCCACAUUGGAACUGAGACACGGUCCAAACUCCUACGGGAGGCAGCAGUGGGGAAUAUUGCACAAUGGGCGAAAGCCUGAUGCAGCAACGCCGCGUGAGUGAUGAAGGCCUUCGGGUCGUAAAACUCUGUCCUCAAGGAAGAUAAUGACGGUACUUGAGGAGGAAGCCCCGGCUAACUACGUGCCAGCCGCCGC
Molecule: ribosomal RNA, 466 nt
Filed under: uncultured bacterium
Lineage: Bacteria
Description: bacterial SSU rRNA
Rfam family: Bacterial small subunit ribosomal RNA
Source: RNAcentral